CCUACGGGAGGCAGCAGUGGGGAAUUUUGGACAAUGGGGGAAACCCUGAUCCAGCAAUGCCGCGUGUGUGAAGAAGGCCUUCGGGUUGUAAAGCACUUUUAUUCGGAGAGAAAUCCCUUGGGCUAAUACCCUGAGGGUCUGACGGUACCGGAUGAAUAAGCGCCGGCUAACUACGUGCCAGCAGCCGCGGUAAUACGUAGGGCGCGAGCGUUAAUCGGAAUUACUGGGCGUAAAGCGUGCGCAGGCGGUUUUGUAAGACAGAUGUGAAAGCCCCGGGCUCAACCUGGGAGUUGCAUUUGUGACUGCAAGGCUAGAGUGUGUCAGAGGGAGGUGGAAUUCCGCGUGUAGCAGUGAGAUGCGUAGAGAUGCGGAGGAACACCGAUGGCGAAGGCAGCCUCCUGGGAUAACACUGACGCUCAUGCACGAAAGCGUGGGGAGCAAACAGGAUUAGAUACCCUGGUAGUCCACGCCCUAAACGAUGUCAACUAGUUGUCGGGAAUUAAAUUUCUUGGUAACGCAGCUAACGCGUGAAGUUGACCGCCUGGGGAGUACGGCCGCAAGGUUAAAACUCAAAUGAAAUUGACGG
Molecule: ribosomal RNA, 586 nt
Filed under: uncultured bacterium
Lineage: Bacteria
Description: bacterial SSU rRNA
Rfam family: Bacterial small subunit ribosomal RNA
Source: RNAcentral